Molecule: transfer RNA, 36 nt
Filed under: Emydoidea blandingii (Blanding's turtle)
Lineage: Eukaryota; Metazoa; Chordata; Testudines; Emydidae
Description: Emys blandingii (Blanding's turtle) partial transfer RNA-Thr
Source: RNAcentral
UAUAUUCUAAUAGCUUAACACACAAAGCAUUGGUCU